GAACGCUAGCGGCAGGCCUAAUACAUGCAAGUCGGACGGGAUAGGAGAGCUUGCUUUCCUUGAGAGUGGCGCACGGGUGCGUAACACGUAUGUAACCUACCUUGAUCAGGGGGAUAGCCUCUCGAAAGAGAGAUUAAGACCGCAUAACAUCAUUGAAUAGCAUUAUUUAAUGAUCAAAUAUUUAUAGGAUCAAGAUGGGCAUGCGGAACAUUAGCUAGUUGGUAAGGUAACGGCUUACCAAGGCUACGACGUUUAGGGGAUCUGAGAGGAUGACCCCCCACACUGGUACUGAGACACGGACCAGACUCCUACGGGAGGCAGCAGUAAGGAAUAUUGGUCAAUGGGCGGAAGCCUGAACCAGCCAUGCCGCGUGCAGGAAGACGGC
Molecule: ribosomal RNA, 385 nt
Filed under: uncultured bacterium
Lineage: Bacteria
Description: bacterial SSU rRNA
Rfam family: Bacterial small subunit ribosomal RNA
Source: RNAcentral